AGAGUUUGAUCCUGGCUCAGGACGAACGCUAGCGGCAGGCCUAAUACAUGCAAGUCGGACGGGAUCCAUCGGAGAGCUUGCUCGAAGAUGGUGAGAGUGGCGCACGGGUGCGUAACGCGUGAGCAACCUGCCCAUAUCAGGGGGAUAGCCCGAAGAAAUUCGGAUUAACACCGCAUAACACAGCUGACCGGCAUCGGUCUACUGUUAAAUAUUUAUAGGAUAUGGAUGGGCUCGCGUGACAUUAGCUAGUUGGUAGGGUAACGGCCUACCAAGGCUACGAUGUCUAGGGGCUCUGAGAGGAGAAUCCCCCACACUGGUACUGAGACACGGACCAGACUCCUACGGGAGGCAGCAGUAAGGAAUAUUGGUCAAUGGAGGGAACUCUGAACCAGCCAUGCCGCGUGCAGGAUGACUGCCCUAUGGGUUGUAAACUGCUUUUGUCAGGGAAUAAACCUCAUUAUGUAUAAUGAGCUGAAUGUACCUGAAGAAUAAGGAUCGGCUAACUCCGUGCCAGCCGCCGCGGUAAUAC
RNAcentral lists this ribosomal RNA (529 nucleotides) under uncultured bacterium. RNAcentral's name for it is "bacterial SSU rRNA". It matches the Rfam family "Bacterial small subunit ribosomal RNA", at positions 8 to 526 of the family's 1533-position model. The record is from RNAcentral.